Molecule: transfer RNA, 72 nt
Organism: Camelus ferus (Wild Bactrian camel)
Lineage: Eukaryota; Metazoa; Chordata; Mammalia; Artiodactyla; Camelidae
Rfam family: tRNA
About the family: Transfer RNA (tRNA) molecules are approximately 80 nucleotides in length. Their secondary structure includes four short double-helical elements and three loops (D, anti-codon, and T loops).
Source: Rfam
GAAGGUAUAGCUCAGUGGUAGAGCACAUGUUUAGCAGGCAUGAGGUCCUGGGUUCAAUCCCCAGUAUUCUCA